UAAUACGAAGGGUGCAAGCGUUACUCGGAAUUACUGGGCGUAAAGCGUGCGUAGGUGGUGGUUUAAGUCAGAUGUGAAAGCCCUGGGCUCAACCUGGGAAUGGCAUUUGAUACUGGAUCACUAGAGUGCGGUAGAGGAUGGCGGAAUUCCCGGUGUAGCAGUGAAAUGCGUAGAGAUCGGGAGGAACAUCUGUGGCGAAGGCGGCCAUCUGGACCAGCACUGACACUGAGGCACGAAAGCGUGGGGAGCAAACAGGAUUAGAUACCCUGGUAGUCCACGCCCUAAACGAUGCGAACUGGAUGUUGGGCUCAACUUGGAGCUCAGUAUCGAAGCUAACGCGUUAAGUUCGCCGCCUGGGGAGUACGGUCGCAAGACUG
Molecule: ribosomal RNA, 377 nt
Filed under: uncultured bacterium
Lineage: Bacteria
Description: bacterial SSU rRNA
Rfam family: Bacterial small subunit ribosomal RNA
Source: RNAcentral